This 74-nucleotide transfer RNA is filed under the name Klebsiella pneumoniae. RNAcentral describes it as "tRNA-Ser". It matches the Rfam family "tRNA". From Rfam's summary of the family: Transfer RNA (tRNA) molecules are approximately 80 nucleotides in length. Their secondary structure includes four short double-helical elements and three loops (D, anti-codon, and T loops). Further hydrogen bonds mediate the characteristic L-shaped molecular structure. tRNAs have two regions of fundamental functional importance: the anti-codon, which is responsible for specific mRNA codon recognition, and the 3' end, to which the tRNAs corresponding amino acid is attached (by aminoacyl-tRNA synthetases). tRNAs cope with the degeneracy of the genetic code in two manners: having more than one tRNA (with a specific anti-codon) for a particular amino acid; and 'wobble' base-pairing, i.e. permitting non-standard base-pairing at the 3rd anti-codon position. Lineage: Bacteria; Pseudomonadati; Pseudomonadota; Gammaproteobacteria; Enterobacterales; Enterobacteriaceae. The record is from RNAcentral.
GGAAGUGUGGCCGAGCGGUUGAAGGCACCGGUCUUGAAAACCGGCGACCCGAAAGGACGACGUUUUCAUUCCCA